This 92-nucleotide transfer RNA is filed under the name Candidatus Veblenbacteria bacterium. Its description in RNAcentral is "tRNA-Leu". The stretch from base 5 to 84 matches the Rfam family "tRNA", at positions 5 to 66 of the family's 71-position model. Rfam says of the family: Transfer RNA (tRNA) molecules are approximately 80 nucleotides in length. Their secondary structure includes four short double-helical elements and three loops (D, anti-codon, and T loops). Further hydrogen bonds mediate the characteristic L-shaped molecular structure. tRNAs have two regions of fundamental functional importance: the anti-codon, which is responsible for specific mRNA codon recognition, and the 3' end, to which the tRNAs corresponding amino acid is attached (by aminoacyl-tRNA synthetases). tRNAs cope with the degeneracy of the genetic code in two manners: having more than one tRNA (with a specific anti-codon) for a particular amino acid; and 'wobble' base-pairing, i.e. permitting non-standard base-pairing at the 3rd anti-codon position. Lineage: Bacteria; Candidatus Vebleniibacteriota. The record is from RNAcentral.
GCCGGAGUGGCGGAACUGGUAUACGCACAGGACUUAAAAUCCUGGGCCCGCAAGGGAUUGAGGGUUCGANNCGAUUCCCUCCUCGCCCACCA